RNAcentral lists this long non-coding RNA (935 nucleotides) under Danio rerio (zebrafish). RNAcentral's name for it is "plakophilin 1a (ENSDARG00000117358.1)". Lineage: Eukaryota; Metazoa; Chordata; Actinopteri; Cypriniformes; Danionidae. The record is from RNAcentral.
AUGUCUGCCGAACCUAUUCGCUCGGUUUUAGGCUCCGUUUCGACGGAUGACACCUCGCUGGUCCUGCCGUCCGACAAGACUCAACGGAGGGGUCAGGAGCGCGUGCAGGAGCAGGUCAAGAGCAUUCGAAGGAAGACGAAGAUUGUCAAGAAUGACUCCAUCCCGUCGCCGACAACUCCAGCAUCAGCGACAGAAUACAGUGAGCCUAAAUUCCAGUUCUCACCGGCAAAAGUGAACAACACACUCUUCAGAUUUAGUGGUUCCAACAUGACUACAACCCAGAACAGAAUGACUGGUCGCAGCGUGUCAGUGCGCCACACUGUGAAAAGGCAGACCCAAAACAGCCAGUGGGACUCUCGGAUGUCUUGGAAUGCUCAGUCUAAGCCCAAUGGGAUGAAGCUCAGUGGCAGCGACCCUUCCUUAAAUAAGAUAGCUACCCAGAAUUCUGUGGAAAGAGUCGCUACCAUACGACAGAAUCGUUCUGUACAAUCUAUGAAAGUGAAGAAUUCUCCUCCGGUUGCUGCCAACCAAGCACAGACAAUCACAAAAGUCAUCAAGACCAAAUCAGAAGCGCCGGGGUGAGUGUGCAGAAAAUGCAUGUUGUGGUUUGUUUACGGUUUUUUUGUUCUUGGUCACAGUUUUCUUAUGAAUUUGUCACUUUACCUGUGUGUCUCUGCCAUAUCUCUGAACUUAAAGUGUGAAUGGAGCCAUGGGAGUGAUGCCCAACAUCACUCUGCAGGAAGCAGUGGAUUAUCUGACACACGAAGACAUCAGUCAUCAGCUGUGUGGAGCUUCAUUCAUACAGCACAACACCUUCACAGAGGACACGGCCAAACAAGAGGUCAGGACACUGACUCGUGUAGCUGAAGCAAGACUAUAGUAUCUAUUAAACUUGUUCAUGUUUUGUCUAUCUUUCUCUGUCAGUCUGUUUUGUU